RNAcentral lists this ribosomal RNA (610 nucleotides) under Methanobrevibacter sp. R2. RNAcentral describes it as "SSU rRNA". It matches the Rfam family "Archaeal small subunit ribosomal RNA", at positions 268 to 878 of the family's 1478-position model. The record is from RNAcentral. Lineage: Archaea; Methanobacteriati; Methanobacteriota; Methanobacteria; Methanobacteriales; Methanobacteriaceae.
UACGGGUUGUGAGAGCAAGAGCCCGGAGAUGGAACCUGAGACAAGGUUCCAGGCCCUACGGGGUGCAGCAGGCGCGAAACCUCCGCAAUGUGAGAAAUCGCGACGGGGGGAUCCCAAGUGCCAUUCUUAACGGGAUGGCUUUUCAUUAGUGUAAAGAGCUUUUGGAACAAGGGCUGGGUAAGACCGGUGCCAGCCGCCGCGGUAACACCGGCAGCUCUAGUGGUAGCAGUUUUUAUUGGGCCUAAAGCGUCCGUAGCCGGUUUAAUAAGUCUCUGGUGAAAUCCUGUAGCUUAACUGUGGGAAUUGCUGGAGAUACUAUUAGACUUGAGACCGGGAGAGGUUAGAGGUACUCCCAGGGUAGAGGUGAAAUUCUGUAAUCCUGGGAGGGCCGCCUGUUGCGAAGGCGUCUAACUGGAACGGUUCUGACGGUGAGGGACGAAAGUUAGGGGCGCGAACCGGAUUAGAUACCCGGGUAGUCCUAACCGUAAACGAUGCGGACUUGGUGUUGGGGUGGCUUUGAGCUGCUCCAGUGCCGAAGGGAAGCUGUUAAGUCCGCCGCCUGGGGAGUACGAUCGCAAGUCUGAAACUUAAAGGAAUUGGCGGGGGAGCA